RNAcentral lists this ribosomal RNA (592 nucleotides) under Klebsiella pneumoniae. RNAcentral describes it as "bacterial SSU rRNA". It matches the Rfam family "Bacterial small subunit ribosomal RNA", at positions 68 to 653 of the family's 1533-position model. Lineage: Bacteria; Pseudomonadati; Pseudomonadota; Gammaproteobacteria; Enterobacterales; Enterobacteriaceae. The record is from RNAcentral.
UAGCACAGAGAGCUUGCUCUCGGGUGACGAGCGGCGGACGGGUGAGUAAUGUCUGGGAAACUGCCUGAUGGAGGGGGAUAACUACUGGAAACGGUAGCUAAUACCGCAUAACGUCGCAAGACCAAAGUGGGGGACCUUCGGGCCUCAUGCCAUCAGAUGUGCCCAGAUGGGAUUAGCUAGUAGGUGGGGUAACGGCUCACCUAGGCGACGAUCCCUAGCUGGUCUGAGAGGAUGACCAGCCACACUGGAACUGAGACACGGUCCAGACUCCUACGGGAGGCAGCAGUGGGGAAUAUUGCACAAUGGGCGCAAGCCUGAUGCAGCCAUGCCGCGUGUGUGAAGAAGGCCUUCGGGUUGUAAAGCACUUUCAGCGGGGAGGAAGGCGAUAAGGUUAAUAACCUUGUCGAUUGACGUUACCCGCAGAAGAAGCACCGGCUAACUCCGUGCCAGCAGCCGCGGUAAUACGGAGGGUGCAAGCGUUAAUCGGAAUUACUGGGCGUAAAGCGCACGCAGGCGGUCUGUCAAGUCGGAUGUGAAAUCCCCGGGCUCAACCUGGGAACUGCAUUCGAAACUGGCAGGCUAGAGUCUUGUA